AGUGAACGCUGGCGGUAGGCCUAACACAUGCAAGUCGAACGGCAGCACAGUAAGAGCUUGCUCUUACGGGUGGCGAGUGGCGGACGGGUGAGGAAUACAUCGGAAUCUACUUUUUCGUGGGGGAUAACGUAGGGAAACUUACGCUAAUACCGCAUACCACCUACGGGUGAAAGCAGGGGAUCUUCGGACCUUGCGCGAUUGAAUGAGCCGAUGUCGGAUUAGCUAGUUGGCGGGGUAAAGGCCCACCAAGGCGACGAUCCGUAGCUGGUCUGAGAGGAUGAUCAGCCACACUGGAACUGAGACACGGUCCAGACUCCUACGGGAGGCAGCAGUGGGGAAUAUUGGACAAUGGGCGCAAGCCUGAUCCAGCCAUACCGCGUGGGUGAAGAAGGCCUUCGGGUUGUAAAGCCCUUUUGUUGGGAAAGAAAAGCAGCAGGUUAAUACCCCGCCGUUCUGACGGUACCCAAAGAAUAAGCACCGGCUAACUUCGUG
RNAcentral lists this ribosomal RNA (492 nucleotides) under uncultured bacterium. RNAcentral's name for it is "partial 16S ribosomal RNA". It matches the Rfam family "Bacterial small subunit ribosomal RNA", at positions 29 to 507 of the family's 1533-position model. The record is from RNAcentral.